Molecule: ribosomal RNA, 2465 nt
Filed under: Triticum aestivum (bread wheat)
Lineage: Eukaryota; Viridiplantae; Streptophyta; Magnoliopsida; Poales; Poaceae
Description: partial small subunit ribosomal RNA
Source: RNAcentral
UCGCUUCCGUAACCUAGGAAGUGCUUUUGCUUUCUUUUGUCACCUUGGUUUCUGCCGUCGCGGCGACGGCGAGGUGUGUGGCGGCCGCGGCGGCCGCGACGGCUACGUCAGGCGAGGAUUGUGGGAGAAGGCGGAGGAGUGAUGUCGUUGUAGGGGUGGCGAGUGAUGGUGGAGGGGAGAGGCUGGGAGGGGCUAAAGAGGGGGGCGGACGGGGCAGAGGAGGCUGCGGCUGCAGCCGUUUGUGCGUCGGCGGCGGCGAGUAGGGGCCUCAGGCGCUGCGGAGGAGGGACCAGGAGACUCCAUCGUCGGGGACGCGGGUGGCUAAGGGGGAGGAGGGCCAACAGAGGGGAUGGGGUAGAUGAGGCUGCGGCUACAGCCGUUCAUGCGGCGGCCGCGGCAGGCGGAGACUAAGGCGCUGGGGAGAGAAUGGAAUAAGAGACUGCGUCGUCGGGUCGGCGGGUGGUAGAGGGGUAGGAAGGGCCGCAGAGGAGGAAGGGGGUGGGGUAGAGGAUGCUGCGGCUGCAACCGUUCAUGCGGCGGCCGUGCAAGGCAGGGGGCUCGAGCACUGCGGUGAGGACGGAGUAGGAGACUACGUCUUUGGGCCGGCGGGUGGUGGAGGAGGAGGACCGGCCGAGAAGUCGCUGCGGCCGCGGUCGAAGGGACGCUGCGCGAGGUCCGGUAAGGGAAGCUCAUGAACGACCAGGUGUGGGCAAAGGAGGUCAUUUGAGACAAAGUCUCUGCCGACCAGACCACACUACCAACGGAGACGACAACGGAGAGGAAGGAUGGGCAGGGCGGAGGUUUAAAGUUUAAAAGACAGUGAGUUUCAAGUUUAGGCGCGCGGGUCAAGCUUGACAGGUCUUUGAUGAGGACGUCGGGUUAUAUUUAUUCACCCGUCCGUAUACCCUGGGUCCGACGAGUUUGAUGUGGGGGUUCUUCAGUGUGUAACCAGUACGGUUGGAAGUCUAGCUUGCCUCACACUCCUUCACACUAAGUGACGAGAAGUGGUAGAUUAGAAGAAGCAGUUCCCGUUCGGUUCAGGUUGUCUUGAACGAGGUCACCGUGCGGUUAAGGAGUAUGUUCAUAUAAAUAUGCGCUCGGUUAUCUAUACUGUUCAAGUUCAGUCAGAAGAAACCUACUACUUCACUGUUUGCUUAGUAGAUGCUAAAAAGGAUGAUUACCGUACGAGUAUAGUUGACUCCCGAACCUCGCUCCUCUUUCGAGUUUUCCUGCUUUCGCACAUACACUUCGUUAUUCUAUACGAUCGGCAUGUGGUCUUGUUUAGGUUCGUUCCGCUCUUGCACAAUCUCGUGCAGCCGUUUUAAAUUGUGGACGACUCUCCCUUUUCUAAUUACGUGUUUCUUCUCUCUUUUCUGUUGCUUACCGUGAACUACUCUCCUUACGUUCGGUUGCUCGUGCAUCCGUUUCAAACUGUUAUCUACUCUCCGUUCUUUAUUUACGUGCGGCCGCUCGUGCAUCCGUUUCGGAUGGUGGACUUCUCGCCGUUCGUGAGGAUCGAGUUGCAUUACGUUCGAUGCGUAGAUUUGCUCUACGGGAGACGUCCCUAAGACAACGUGAUGUCACGGGAUGUCCAAGUAACUACCCUGUAGGUAGUAGUUCAAGAAUACAGAAAUCGGUGGGUCCUCUACUACUAUGAUAGGUCGUGUACCUUGAGUGUAGUCACGUUACAGGUUGUAGAUGAAGUCACCUGUUAGGUAGUAGUGGGGUACUACCAAAGCAUAUAAGUCUAAGGGGUUAUCUUUCGAAACAGCGGCUACUACUACUAAGAGUGUACAGACUUCUUGUUCUGCUACUCAUGAAGUGUAAACGACCCUCUCCACUGCUACUUCUGAACCAUCUACGGAAAUGUUGUCUGUGGUAACAGGGACUGGAUAUACUAGCACAGAUGGUGUUAUGGUCACUCGUCUACCUACUACACUCUCCGGGUUUUGAUUAUACCAACCGUAUUUACAAAACUCGUUUGUCGAUUUCUCCUCAAGUGUCCCGAACGUAAACUGCUUCGGUGAUAAGCUUCCUACGACCGUGUACCGUGUAGUAAAACGGUAUCAUUAGAACGAAUACCUCGGGCUAAUAAAACCAACAUGAACAUACAUGAGUACAUACGUUCAAUACGUGGUUCACAAAAUAAAAUAACAAAAGAGAAAAGAGUACACUCAAUAGCACCGAACAAUGACCUACACUAUACAAACACUCCACGAGUUACAGAAAUGGUAAAGAUCGUCUAUUAACACACGCCCGACCUCAACAUCAGGUACAAUUCGUUUGUCUUCGGUUUCUGUCCGUUUACCUCUCUAUUUCGACCACUUACAACAGUGUCAACGAUGCACACAUUCAACGAUGCACACAUCUGCUUAAAAUAUAAACGGCGUACGAGAGGGGAACUAUAUCCUAUCUCGCUCGUUAAUCUCUCAACACAUCCCUCUUCCAGAAGGAUGCUCUACAUC